This 429-nucleotide ribosomal RNA is filed under the name Pseudomonadota bacterium. RNAcentral describes it as "Proteobacteria bacterium partial 16S ribosomal RNA". It matches the Rfam family "Bacterial small subunit ribosomal RNA", at positions 355 to 776 of the family's 1533-position model. Lineage: Bacteria; Pseudomonadati; Pseudomonadota. The record is from RNAcentral.
UGGGGAAUAUUGGACAAUGGGCGAAAGCCUGAUCCAGCCAUGCCGCGUGUGUGAAGAAGGUCUUCGGAUUGUAAAGCACUUUAAGGUGGGAGGAAGGGCAGUAAGCGAAUACCUUGCUGUUUUGACGUUACCGACAGAAUAAGCACCGGCUAACUCUGUGCCAGCAGCCGCGGUAAUACAGAGGGUGCAAGCGUUAAUCGGAAUUACUGGGCGUAAAGCGCGCGUAGGUGGUUCGUUAAGUUGAAUGUGAAAGCCCCGGGCUCAACCUGGGAACUGCAUCCAAAACAGGCGAGCUAGAGUAGGGCAGAGGGUGGUGGAAUUUCCUGUGUAGCGGUGAAAUGCGUAGAUAUAGGAAGGAACACCAGUGGCGAAGGCGACCACCUGGGCUCAUACUGACACUGAGGUGCGAAAGCGUGGGGAGCAAACAGG